Molecule: ribosomal RNA, 571 nt
Filed under: uncultured bacterium
Lineage: Bacteria
Description: partial 16S ribosomal RNA
Rfam family: Bacterial small subunit ribosomal RNA
Source: RNAcentral
UGGGGAAUAUUGCACAAUGGGCGCAAGCCUGAUGCAGCCAUGCCGCGUGUGUGAAGAAGGCCUUCGGGUUGUAAAGCACUUUCAGCGAGGAGGAAGGUGGUGAGCUUAAUACGCUCAUCAAUUGACGUUACUCGCAGAAGAAGCACCGGCUAACUCCGUGCCAGCAGCCGCGGUAAUACGGAGGGUGCAAGCGUUAAUCGGAAUUACUGGGCGUAAAGCGCACGCAGGCGGUUUGUUAAGUCAGAUGUGAAAAUCCCCGGGCUCAACCUGGGAACUGCAUUUGAAACUGGCAAGCUAGAGUCUCGUAGAGGGGGGUAGAAUUCCAGGUGUAGCGGUGAAAUGCGUAGAGAUCUGGAGGAAUACCGGUGGCGAAGGCGGCCCCCUGGACGAAGACUGACGCUCAGGUGCGAAAGCGUGGGGAGCAAACAGGAUUAGAUACCCCUGGUAGUCCACGCUGUAAAACGAUGUCGAUUUUGGAGGUUGUGCCCUUGAGGCGUGGCUUCCGGAGCUAACGCGUUAAAUCGACCGCCUGGGGAGUACGGCCGCAAGGUUAAAACUCAAAUGAAUUGAC